RNAcentral lists this transfer RNA (77 nucleotides) under Coriobacteriaceae bacterium. RNAcentral's name for it is "tRNA-Ile". It matches the Rfam family "tRNA". From Rfam's summary of the family: Transfer RNA (tRNA) molecules are approximately 80 nucleotides in length. The record is from RNAcentral. Lineage: Bacteria; Bacillati; Actinomycetota; Coriobacteriia; Coriobacteriales; Coriobacteriaceae.
GGGCCCAUAGCUCAGUUGGCUAGAGCGCACGGCUGAUAACCGUGAGGUCACAAGUUCGAAUCUUGUUGGGCCCACCA